RNAcentral lists this ribosomal RNA (521 nucleotides) under uncultured Geobacillus sp. RNAcentral's name for it is "bacterial SSU rRNA". It matches the Rfam family "Bacterial small subunit ribosomal RNA", at positions 8 to 507 of the family's 1533-position model. The record is from RNAcentral. Lineage: Bacteria; Bacillati; Bacillota; Bacilli; Caryophanales; Anoxybacillaceae.
AGAGUUUGAUCCUGGCUCAGGACGAACGCUGGCGGCGUGCCUAAUACAUGCAAGUCGAGCGGACCGGAUUGGGGCUUGCCUUGAUUCGGUCAGCGGCGGACGGGUGAGUAACACGUGGGCAACCUGCCCGCAAGACCGGGAUAACUCCGGGAAACCGGAGCUAAUACCGGAUAACACCGAAGACCGCAUGGUCUUCGGUUGAAAGGCGGCCUUUGGGCUGUCACUUGCGGAUGGGCCCGCGGCGCAUUAGCUAGUUGGUGAGGUAACGGCUCACCAAGGCGACGAUGCGUAGCCGGCCUGAGAGGGUGACCGGCCACACUGGGACUGAGACACGGCCCAGACUCCUACGGGAGGCAGCAGUAGGGAAUCUUCCGCAAUGGGCGAAAGCCUGACGGAGCGACGCCGCGUGAGCGAAGAAGGCCUUCGGGUCGUAAAGCUCUGUUGUGAGGGACGAAGGAGUGCCGUUCGAAGAGGGCGGCGCGGUGACGGUACCUCACGAGAAAGCCCCGGCUAACUACGUG